Molecule: long non-coding RNA, 913 nt
Organism: Bombus impatiens (common eastern bumble bee)
Lineage: Eukaryota; Metazoa; Arthropoda; Insecta; Hymenoptera; Apidae
Exons: 3
Source: RefSeq, a predicted model, not a curated record
ACAAUCAAAACAAACAUUAAAUAUUACUAACCAAAACGAUGAAUUAAUGGACAAAAAAUUGUAUAAGAAAACCGAGAAAAGAAUUGUACUGUCGAUAUAACAAUACAGGUAUAGUUUUGCAUAAGUAUUGAGAUAAGAUGACUGACCAAGGCCAAUUACUAGAAUUGUAAAUAGAUUAAAGAAUUGACGUGUAUAAGUGAUAGGAGAAUUAUGUUAAGAUUCUUGAAAAUAUUGAUGAUGAAACAGCAAAUAUUAUUUGGAACAUAGCGAUGCCGCUUCAAUUAUAAUAUAAAAUAUUUUACCUUCUGUGCUGUAGUAUCCGCCAUUAUACACUCCAUGAAAAAAAAAAGUUUAUAAAAUAUAACCACACUAUCCCUUUGUUGUAACGUACAACUUCAAACAGGAAGUUGCGAGUUAUUUUUUCUUCGUCAAAAUCGAGACACCAUAGAGCUGAUUGAGAGAAUUAUAAUCAUAGCAUGUGCAAAGGUGCACGAUGAUACACAAUAUGUCAAUCUUUAUUCUUUUACUUUUUACAUGUUUUAUUUCGUAUUCUGUAGAAGUUGUUUUUACUAUAAUCUAUACAAUUUGAAUUCGCUUCUUUGAUAGAAAUGAAAAUUUAAGAAAACAUGAUGUGAUAAAUUAUAAUUGAUGUGAAUAGAAUACUAAUAAUACAAAAUGAUAUUUUGAUUCCAAUUAACUGUCAGAAAUUAAGUCAAUACUCAUAUAAAUAAUCUAUGAAAAUGUCAAAUAAGUAGGUGCCAGAAGUAGGAGAGAGAUAAAAGGAUAAUACUUCAUUAAAUUGAAUGUCAUGGAUAUAUUUAAAAAAAACUGUAAUUUUUUAAAAAUAAACAGCAUACAGUUUUGCGAAUAUUGAACAUAUUUUUAAUCAGAUUAGAACAAUAUUUUGAAUCAG